GACGAACGCUGGCGGCGUGCCUAAUACAUGCAAGUUGAGCGCUCAGGGUUGGUGCUUGUACCAACUGGAUGAGCAGCGAACGGGUGAGUAACGCGUGGGGAAUCUGCCUUUGAGCGGGGGACAACAUUUGGAAACGAAUGCUAAUACCGCAUAAAAACUUUAAACACAAGUUUUAAGUUUGAAAGGUGCAAUUGCAUCACUCAAAGAUUAUCCCGCGUUGUAUUAGCUAGGUGGUGAGGUAAAGGCUCACCAAGGCGAAGAUACAUAACCGAACUGGAAAGGUGAUCCGCCCCAAUGGGAAUUGGGCACGGCCCAAACUCCUACGGGAGGGAACAAGAGGGGAACUUCGGGAAUAGGCGAAAGGCUGAACGGGCAAAGCCGGGGUGGGGAAGGAGGGUCUCGGGUCGGAAAACUCUGUUUGUAGGGAAGAACGUUGGUGAGAGUGGAAAGCGCAUCAAGUGACGGUACCUAACCAGAAAGGGACGGCUAACUACGUG
This 497-nucleotide ribosomal RNA is filed under the name uncultured bacterium. RNAcentral describes it as "partial 16S ribosomal RNA". It matches the Rfam family "Bacterial small subunit ribosomal RNA", at positions 28 to 507 of the family's 1533-position model. The record is from RNAcentral.